AUGAAGUCACAGAUCCAUGUCUUCAUGUCCCUGCUCCUCUGGAUGUCUGGUGCCUGUGGAGAUAUUGUGAUGACUCAGUCUCCAUCUUCCCUGGCUUUGUCAGCAGGAGAGAAAGUCACCAUCAGUUGCAGGUCCAGUCAGAGUCUCUAUCACAGUGGAAUCAGUAAGAACCUCUUGGCCUGGUACCAGCAGAAACCAGGGCAGUCUCCUAAACUGCUGAUCUACUAUGCAUCUACUCGGUUCACUGGGGUACCUGAUCACUUCAUUGGCACUGGAUCUGGGACAGAUUACUCUCUUACCAUCAGCAGUGUAGAGGCUGAAGACAUGGGACAUUAUUUCUGUCAGCAGGGUUUAAACAAUCCUCCCACAGUGCUUCGGUCUCCAACAAAAACCUCCUCUAUGUGUCUCACCAGGUGUCUGUACCUCGACCUAACACUUCCCUCUUCUGCCUGA
This is a non-coding RNA of Cricetulus griseus (Chinese hamster), 453 nucleotides long. The record is from the annotation of a RefSeq genome assembly. Lineage: Eukaryota; Metazoa; Chordata; Mammalia; Rodentia; Cricetidae.